RNAcentral lists this ribosomal RNA (384 nucleotides) under uncultured bacterium. RNAcentral describes it as "bacterial SSU rRNA". It matches the Rfam family "Bacterial small subunit ribosomal RNA", at positions 105 to 485 of the family's 1533-position model. The record is from RNAcentral.
GGUGAGUAAUGUAUCGGAACGUGCCCAGUAGUGGGGGAUAGCCCGGCGAAAGCCGGAUUAAUACCGCAUGAGACCUGAGGGUGAAAGCGGGGGAUCGCAAGACCUCGCGCUAUUGGAGCGGCCGAUAUCAGAUUAGCUAGUUGGUGGGGUAAAGGCCUACCAAGGCAACGAUCUGUAGUUGGCCUGAGAGGACGACCAGCCACACUGGGACUGAGACACGGCCCAGACUCCUACGGGAGGCAGCAGUGGGGAAUUUUGGACAAUGGGCGCAAGCCUGAUCCAGCAAUGCCGCGUGCAGGAAGAAGGCCUUCGGGUUGUAAACUGCUUUUGUCAGGGAAGAAAUCUUCUGGGCUAAUACCCCGGGAGGAUGACGGUACCUGAAGA